GAACGAAGCCUUCGGGCUUAGUGGCGGACGGGUUAGUAACGCGUGGGAAUGUACCCUUCACUACGGAAUAGUCCCGGGAAACUGGGUUUAAUACCGUAUACGCCCUUCGGGGGAAAGAAUUUCGGUGAUGGAUCAGCCCGCGUUAGAUUAGGUAGUUGGUGGGGUAAUGGCCUACCAAGCCUACGAUCUAUAGCUGGUUUGAGAGGAUGAUCAGCAACACUGGGACUGAGACACGGCCCAGACUCCUACGGGAGGCAGCAGUGGGGAAUCUUAGACAAUGGGGGAAACCCUGAUCUAGCCAUGCCGCGUGAGUGACGAAGGUCUUAGGAUCGUAAAGCUCUUUCAACUGUGAAGAUAAUGACGGUAGCAGUAGAAGAAACCCCGGCUAACUCCGUGCCAGC
This 401-nucleotide ribosomal RNA is filed under the name uncultured bacterium. Its description in RNAcentral is "bacterial SSU rRNA". It matches the Rfam family "Bacterial small subunit ribosomal RNA", at positions 64 to 512 of the family's 1533-position model. The record is from RNAcentral.